CAGCAGCCACGGUAAUACAGAGGGUGCAAGCGUUAAUCGGAAUUACUGGGCGUAAAGCGCGCGUAGGUGGUUUGUUAAGUUGGAUGUGAAAUCCCCGGGCUCAACCUGGGAACUGCAUCCAAAACUGGCAAGCUAGAGUAUGGUAGAGGGUGGUGGAAUUUCCUGUGUAGCGGUGAAAUGCGUAGAUAUAGGAAGGAACACCAGUGGCGAAGGCGACCACCUGGACUGAUACUGACACUGAGGUGCGAAAGCGUGGGGAGCAAACAGGAUUAGAUACCCCUGUAGUCCCUGUCUCUUAUAC
RNAcentral lists this ribosomal RNA (301 nucleotides) under uncultured bacterium. RNAcentral describes it as "partial 16S ribosomal RNA". It matches the Rfam family "Bacterial small subunit ribosomal RNA", at positions 509 to 807 of the family's 1533-position model. The record is from RNAcentral.